This is a non-coding RNA of Microcebus murinus (gray mouse lemur), 2080 nucleotides long. NCBI's taxonomy places the organism in Eukaryota, Metazoa, Chordata, Mammalia, Primates, Cheirogaleidae. The record is from RefSeq and is a predicted model, not a curated record.
AGUGCUAGGAUUGCAGGUAUGAGCCACUGUGCCUGGUCUGUAUUUAUUUUGUGUAGUCUUUUGCCCACAUUUUUUUCUAGGUGGGUUGUAUGCCUUUUUAUCUUUGAGUCUAAUGUUCUGACACAAGUGUUGAUGGUUAAUCUUUUCAUUUUUGAUGAACAUAAAUUCUUCAUUUUAAUUGUCAUAUUUAGUAAUUUUUUUUUUAGUGGUUAGUGGUUUUUGUGUCCUGUGUAAGAAAUCCCCUGCCUAUCCAAAGGUCCUAAAGCUAUUCUGUCUGAUAUCUUUUCUCCUAGACCCUUUAUUGUUUGGGCUUUUCACAUUGAAGUCUAUGAUCCACUUUGAAUCAACACACAAUCAUAUCUUGUGUGUAUGGGAUCAAAAGUUCAUUUUUUCCCCCACAUGAAUAACCAAUUGAUCCAGCAACAUUUAUUGAAAAACCCAUCCUUUCCCUAUUGAAUUGUGCUUUGUCUGCAGGUAAGCGUGAGUCAGGUUUGGGUUCCCUUCUGGUCCAUUGAUGUGUGUGUCUGCCCACACGUGUGCCAACACCAAACCGUCCUUGUUGCUGUCAAUUGCACUGUGAUAUCCACGCACCAUCUUCAAAGGUGUCCUGGGAGCUGCCGCCUCUGUAGAGAGUUUGCAAGGCUGUUUCCCUGUGCCAGGCCAUCGGGACUGGGGGAGGUGACAUUGGGAAUAAAGAAAGGGGGAAUAAGCCAUGUCCAGACACUGAAAGAGCUUUUCUUAAAGACAUCAAGGCUUUUUUUCAAAAGAUGUAUAGAUGUUCGGGGGGAUUAGAAAGCUUGGAAAAGCCUCCUCUUUUUAAAAUGUCAAAAAAAAAAAUACCCAUCUGGAGCAAGCUUUCUGUAACCAUCCGGUCAGUGCAUGUGGUGCUCUCAGCUGCACGGCGGACACACAGAAGGCCGUCAGGGAUGGCGUUUACGAAGGAGUGGCGCAGCCCAGAUGCUGAGCCCAGACGCGAGAGGGCGGGCUUUGAAGGGCCCGAGGGACACAGAGUGACCACAGGAAGGAGCCCCGCCCAGUGUUGGGUGGGGCUUCGGAGAGGGGCCCCUGCCUCGAGGACAGCAUGCUUGGGCAGCCACUCGCACGGCCGCGGGUGGAAAAGGCUUCAGCUUUCGUUACCUCUUCUUUCUUCUAUUUUUAGCUGUCCAUCUCCCCCAGUAUUAAUGGUCUGUGCAGAAAAUGAAAAGUAGAAAAUGUCACCUUUCGCCCUCCACCCAGAAUUGACCAUGGUUACGCUGAGGCUCAGCUCCUUCCAGCGUGGAGUCUGAGCAUCAGCUCAUUCAACGUUCAGGAGCAACGGGAAGUUUGGCCAUUAGCGAGGAUUUCCUCAAUUUCCUUGGAAUCAUCACAGUGGCUGGGCUUGGUCUUCCUGAAGCUCGGGCCGUUUCCCCCUCCCCUGCUUUCAAGCUGCAGGUCCGGGUGAGAAGGAGGCGGAUGCAAAUGCAGAGACUCGACUUUCAGGCCUGGUUUCUCAAAGUGGAGAUUCCUCUUUUUAAAGGCAUAGAGAAUUAAUUUCAUGACUGGGUCCCAGGCUCUGGGCUAAGCUUGAGCACCCAGAAACUGCUCACCAGAAGCGGAGGCCAGUGAGAGACACACGAGUGUCCGCGGUGCCAGGUGACAGGGCUCUCACAAAGGAUGGAGAAGGGGCCGUGGCGGCUGGCCCAGUGGAAAAGUACCUCGGCCGUGAUUCAUCAGGGACACUGCUCUGCUGGUGCCAGGCCAUCACCCCGUCCCGGAGACCAGACAGCUGACAGCUGAAAGUCACAUCAAAAAUGGAACCAACUUUAAGGGAAGAAAGUAAAGGAAAGUUAAGAUACAAAUGUGCUAUUUUGAUGUUAUACCUGGGUUCUGCUGCAAGCCUCUGUCUAACAGAACCACAACGAGACUACACCUGCUACGUGGUUGGCACCGUCUGGGCACAGUGGGCAAGGCAGGCUCCAGCCCCAGGCAGCUCCCAACCUGUGAGGGGAGAACAACGUGGAGCCCCAACGGGACACAGACUGGCUGAUUAAAUAAUAAUGUGGUUUGGACAAAUAAAAUUCCCAGUGUCACUGAACUUUAA